This 24102-nucleotide long non-coding RNA is filed under the name Nicotiana benthamiana. RNAcentral describes it as "long non-coding RNA (NBEN_LNC003796)". The record is from RNAcentral. Lineage: Eukaryota; Viridiplantae; Streptophyta; Magnoliopsida; Solanales; Solanaceae.
UUAGAGAAACAAAUGAAGAGACAAAACUUGGUGACUACAUAAUUCCAUCAGGUGCACAGCUUUUGGUGCCUCUGCAAUUAAUCCACCGCGACACAGACCAAUGGGGAGAAGAUUCUCUUAUUUUCAAUCCAGAAAGAUUCUUAGAAGGAGUGUCAAAAGCACCCAAAGAUUUGAUGUAUUUUCCCUUUGGUUGGGGUUCUCGUCUUUGCCUUGGAAUGAAUUUCGCUAUGAUUCAGGUCAAACUUGUUUUGGCUAAAAUCGUACAGAAUUACUCGUUUGAGCUCUCUCCCUCCUAUGCUCAUGGCCCGACCAUGGCCGCACUGGUUCUUCAACCUCAGUAUGGUGCACUUGUCAUUGUGCGAAAGCUUUGACAUUAUCUUUACUUUUAGGGACGGAGCUAGAGUAUUAAUUACGAUUUGGCAGACUAUGAAUUUAUAUUAAAUUUACUUAAUAUGCAUAAAUAAUCUAUCUUGGGUCUGUUAAGUUGUCAUGUUUGAAAAUUUUGAACUCAUAAAUUUAAAGUUUCUUUUCCGCCUCUCCUAUUUAUGUUUGAAUUAAAGUCUUUUCCUUUAUGAUCCUUAUAAGACAGUAACUUUGUUUUUGGUUACACUGAUAUGAAUGAAAUUAUGAAAGACAUAUCUGUUUCCUAAGAAAUGUUGAAACAAAGAUUUGCAAUGAAAUUCUUACACUAUCAGAUCAAUUUAUUCUGCUAUAGAGGAUUAUUUGCUACUUCCUCGUUUCAUUUUAUGAAUCUUAAUUUGAUUUGUCACCAAGCUUAUGAACAUAAAGAAGACUUUUUUUUAUCUAGUGAUAUUAAAUUAAUGGUGUAUAUAAUGUACAAAAAGUAUCUUCUGAAUCUUGCAUGUGACAUUAAAUAUGUCAUCAAUGAUAAAAUAAAAAUAUUUGAAUUAAAACUCACCAAAAAUAAAGAGAUGUCAUUCCUUUUAAAUAGAUUAAAAAGGAAAGUCAGACGAAUAAAUUAAAAUAGAGGGAGUAUUAGUUACCACUAAUUACUUUUUCAAUAAUACAAUAUAUUAUACACUAACUGAAACUAAACUCUUUCUAAUUUCUGUUUAGCAAAGUGUGCAAAUCGGACCAAAGAGAUGCAUAAAAUAGCUAUAUUUUAGAAAAAUGCUCAAGUGCCCGUAUUUAUGUCAGAAAUUUGGUACUGAAAUAAGUAUCACCCUAAACGAUAAUGUGGUAUAAAAUAAUCAAACAAGUAUGGUAUGAUGUGUUGCAUGCAAUCACAACAAUAGAUCCAAUGUGUGGUCUAGGGAGAAUAUUAUAUACAUAUGUCUUUUACAUUAUUAGUAUAUACCUACUAAUUAUUUAAUCUUCUAUCCUAAUUUUCGACCUCCACACACUCCUAUCAAGGGUCAUUGUCCUCGAUACACUAAAGCAGUGUCAUGUUCUAUCUAAUUACCUCUUCCCAAUACUUCUUUGGUUCGUCUCUACCUCUCAUCAGAUCUAUCAAUGCCAACCUCUUACACCUACUUACUAGGGCAUCAUUGUCUGUCCUCUUCUCAUACCCGAACCAGCUAAGAAUCGUUUUCUGCAUCUUGUCCUCCAGGGGGUGGCACCCACCCUAUCCUGAAUGUCUUCACUCCUAAUCUUAUCUAUCCUGGUAUGCUCAUGCAAACAUCUAAACAUCCUCAUUUCUGCUACCUUCAUCUUCUAGACAUAAGAGUUCUUGACCGGCCAAAAUGCUACCUAUAUAACAUAGUUGGUCUAACUGCAUUAGAACUUAUCCUUAAGUUUUGGUAGCACAUUCUUAUCACAUAGAACACCGAAUGCAAACUUCUAUUUCAUCAACCACAAUGGUCUAAUUGCAUUAGAACUUAUCCUUAAGUUUUGGUAGCAUAUUCUUAUCACAUAGAACACCGAAUGCAAACUUCUAUUUCAUCAACCACGCUCUAAUAUGAUGUGUGAUAUCCUUGUCAAUUUCUAUAUUUCUUUGGAUUACUAACCCAAAGUACUUGAAACUUCUUCUCUUAAGGAUGACUUAUGUAUCAAUCCUCACAUCCAUAUCUACUUAAUGAGUCACUUAAUUGAACUUGCACUCCAACUAUUUUGUCUAGGUCUUACUCUGUCAAUGUCAUACCUCUUUUUUUACAUACUACCCCAAAAGGUUGUAUAUAAGGCAAUUUUUCCAAUUUAAGUGACAUUAAUUAUUUAUACUAUUUAGUUCAGAGUUGCCACUUGGAAUAGUUUAUUUUCUGGUGUCCCAAGUCACUGAUUUAAUUUAAAAUCUCAAAUCGAGGAAAAUUCGACUUUCCUUAUGAAGUCUGCGAACUAGAAAUUCUGAGUAAGGAAUUCCGUUAACCCGAGGGAAGGUGUUAGCCACCCUCGGAUUCUGUAGUUCUAGCAUGGUCGCUUAAACUAGUAUAAUUGGUCUAUUAUAUGAUUUUAAUGCAUUUCCAAACCUAUGGUGCAAAUUUUAAAUUAUUUACCUCUUUUAAUUAAUUUUAAAGGAGAUUGAACGUCAUUUAAUCCAUGUUUUUGGAUUGCGUCACAUGAAAUGCACCCGUAAUUUGAAACAUAUUUAUUCAAUAUUUUAGGAUUUAAAUUUGGGUCGCAUGAAAUGCACACCCGAGUUUUAGAAGGUAAAAUUAUUAAAUAGCGCGCCUAAAGCAACUAACGUGUCAUUAACUUUGCGGGAGGCCUUGAAAGAUUGCUAAAUGGCACACCCCGAGUUAUAAGUGUGAGCAUGUGAUUUUUGACCUAUAUGAAUCAUACAAACUAAUUUUCCUUUGUUAAUUUGCAAUUUUUUAAUUUUUCGGGGCAUUUUCUGCUAAUAGUUUGCAUUUGUUUGUGCAUAUUUAAUUUAUCUUAAUAAAAUAAAAUACAAAAAUAUGUUGUAUUUGCAUUUAGGAUUUAACUUUACAUUUCAGGAUUAAUUACCAAAUUAGUUGUUUUAUGAAAAGGGAAAAUCAUAAAAAAUAUAGUAUAAUUUGCACUUUUAAUUUUAGCUUUUAUUUUGAAGUAGUUUUCCUUUAAUUUGUUUCUAAUUAAUUGAGUUAACUAUCAUUUAGGUGUAACUAAUGACAUAUUUGAGUUAAUUGGUCCCUAAGAUUUAAUUUAGAAAUUAUAUUAAUUUAGAGAAAAUAGAAAAAGAAAAGAAGAAUAGGAUUUUUGAAGGUAAAAGAGGAUUAUAAUAAAAAGAAGAGGAAAUCUGGGCCAUCUUUGAAUUAAGCUUCCAGCCCAAACUGUUCCCCUCUUAAAACCGAUCAAUCCCAACCCAAGUUUCCCCAACCCGGUUCAUCUCAUGCCCAAUCAAACGACGUUGUUGUAGCCAUUAGAUCGUAGUCGUCAAGGUUACUCGAUCAAACGGCCCUGAAUCUUGGGUUCAUUUACAUAUAAGUGUCUGAAACACUCUACCCCCCCCCCCCCCCCCCCCCNNNNNNNNNNNNNNNNNGAAACCCUCUCCCCCCCCCCCCUCACUCCUCUCCUUAAUCUCUUCAGAGACUAGCCAUACACCACCGUCCUACGCCUGCCAGAAAUAGUUCACGGCGGCGUACGGUGGCAUAUCCCUUCCAAACUUACACCAUGGACUCCUCUCACCUUUCCCAGUCCGAAUCCCCAAUCCAUCUUCUCCGAACCACCCCAAUACUCUUCAAAUUUUAGAUUGAAAUAGGACCCCAAAACCCUACUUUACCCAACCAAUCCCAAUUUAAUACCAUACAACCGCCUUGACCCCCUCAUACCCAAUAUGUAUGUGAUUUCCCUCUAAUCAUUGUCAAACAUUUUAAAUUUUGGAUCUGAAAUAUGAAGCCCUAGUCCCCGUUUCCCCUUUUGCAUAUUUGGGUCUUGAGAGGCUUUGGGUGAACUCAAAAUAUCCGUUAGUCAAUUUGUUCUUGUUAAGAAUAGACGAUUAACGGUAGUUCGAAUUCACCCUUUGGCUCAACAAUCUGAGUGAGUGAUUUCAGUGUCGAAGAGGUUGUUCCAUGUAAUCCUCUUUUCAUUUUCACCAUUUGAUCAUAAUUUGGACUGUAUAUUUAGUCAUUAAGUUUUUGUAUUUUUUUUUCUUUCUUUGUUUUCUUCUUUUUUUGAGUUUUAUUUCUCAUAGGUUUAAGGAUUGAUCAUAUUUAAUUAUUUGUUCAUUAAGAGAAUGGAAAUGGCGGUAUGUUAGGGUUUAGAGAUAUUAUCUAUUAUGUUCAAUUAAUCCAGUUCAUUUAUAUUAGUUUCUGAAUAUAUUCAAGUAUUCAUGGGUGUGUCCUUUUUAUUCCAAGGUCUUUGAACAAUAGAUGCAGGUCUAGUUAUAAGUUUAAAGUAAUUCAAUAUUGGUUUGUUUGAUCUUCCUUGCUCCCUCAAUUCUGAAACAUGUUGUAUGUCCUUGUUGGUAAUUACUGGGAACUCUUAGGGUCUUAAUUACAUCAAAAGGAAACUUUAGGGGUUUUAAGGGUCAAGUAAGAGCUGUAAUAACCAAUUAGGCAAAGGGAAAAUCAAGAAUUUUAGGUGGGAGAGGGAAUCAUUUUUGUUGGGUAGAAGUUUCCAGAGAUAGCAUAAGUGUGAGUCUGUUAAGAAGCAUGAUUUUCAUAUUCUUGAGAAGGUGAAAAGUAUGUUUUGUUGAAUCAUUACUCAAAGAUUUUAAAAUCAUCACAACAUACACCCUGCUCCUUUAUAUUGUAGACAAGAACCUAAGAAAUACUACAAACAUAAGAGGCAAAAAACAUGGGUAUUGCAGUUUUAAUUGCUCUACCAAUAUGCCUUUCAUUCUCCUUUUGGUGCCUGAAAUUGCUGUAUUUGAUAUGGUGGCGGCCCAAAAAUGUGGAAAGAUAGCUAGGAUACAAGGAGUAUAUGGCCGUCCAUAUAGAUUUCUUUAUGGAAAUCUAAAGGAGAUGAUGGAAAUGAACAAAAUAGCUAAGUCUAAACCUAUGCCUUUGAAUCACGACUACACCCCUCGGCUAAAUCCUUUGUUCUAUGAGCUCGCCUCCACUUACAGUAACUACUCUUACUAGUAAUUUGCAUAAGUUUCUUUAGUAGCAAAAAAUAGUGGCAAAGUCAGGAAUUUCACUAAAAAUAUAGUUUAAGAUUGUUUUCAAACUUUAAUUUGUAAAUAGUAAUAUGUUCCGUCCUUUGCAGAGAAACUUUUCUUGUUUUGGCUGGGACCGAUACCUCGGGUGACCAUAAUGGAUCCAAAGCUAAUACGGGAAGUACUAUCAAAUAAAUCGGGUGUGUUCAGAAAAUCAAAAAUCAGUGCUUUCCUCAAGCUAUUUGGAACAGGAUUGGGGACUUACGAUGGUGAAAAAUGGGCUAAACACAGAAAAAUUCUUAAUCCAGCUUUCCACUUGGAAAAAUUAAAGGUAUUUUUCAAUUAAGUAGUUACCUUACUUUUACGUCAUUUUUUAAUCAGAGGUUUAUUUUCAUUUUGGCCUUGCAAAUGCAUGCAACUUAUGUUGGGAGCAUUCACAGAGUGUACACAAAAAAUGAUAAGCAGAUGGGACACGUUAACUGAAUCAAAGGGUUGUUGUGAAUUGGAUAUUUCCAAAGAAUUUCAUAGUUUAACAGGAGAUAUACUACCAAAAUCAGCCUUUGGUAGUAAUUUUGAAGAAGGGAAGUUAAUAGUUUCGCUUCUGAGGGAACAAUGCGAACUUGUUUUCACUGCAAAACUUGCUAUUAAUGUCUUCCCUUGGUUAAGGUACGUCUAAAUGAAAUCUAUAAUCUUGAAAAUAAGAUAUGCUAACGGUGACUUGCUAGUAUUCUUUACACUGUCUGUAUUGAGAUUCUCGUCUAUGUAAUAGGUUUGUGCCAACAAAAACUAAUUCAAGAAGAUUGUACAUCAAUAACACAGUCCGCAAUUCGCUAAAAAGGAUAAUAGAGAAGCGAGAGAAAGAGGUACAAUCAGAAAAAUCACACAAAAGUUUGCUAAAAGGAUAAUAGAGAAGCGAGAGAAAGAGGUACAAUCAGAAAAAUCACACAAUGAAGAUCUUUUGGGGUUUUUAAUGAAAUCUAAUCAAGAAGAACAACAAGGGAAUAAGAACUCAAACAAGGGAAUACAGAAGAUGUAAUAGAAGAGUGCAACUCUUUCUAUUUUGCGGGUCAAGAGACUAUUGCAACUUUAUUAACAUGGACUGCAAUUGUUUUGACUAUGCAUCGAGAUUGGCAAGAAAAAGCCAGGAAUGAAGUUCUUCAAAUCAUUGGAAAAGAUGAACCUAAGUUUGAUCAACUGACCAGCUAAAAAUUGUAAGAUUCUCCGCUUAUGAUCUGUCGUUAUAUACUAUUUUAAUUGAAGUAAUAUACACUAACAAUAUAAAUUUAUUUUACAUUAUCAGUAUAGAUUAAAUAUGAUGGUAAGUUAGUUAUCGUUUCCGAUUAAGGCUUAUCUUGGAGAUAUGCUGACACUUUAAACAUUUUUUAAUAUUAUAGGUAAAUUUUAACCUGUAAUAGCAGAUAAGUUACAAAUUUCAAGAAAUUUACAUGGACUUGCUUAAAGUACCUAAUUACAUAAAUAUUACAAUCGGUUGAUAUAUAGAACUUAAACUCUUUACUUUACAAGUUACUUGAUUACGCAAAUAUUUUGUACGUUGUCAAUGCAUUGGAACUUCAACUCGAAAGAGACUUUUGAGUGUUAAAAGAAGGGUAACUCAAUGCACGAGACUCUUUGCAUUUACGCAUGAUUCAAAGAAGGGUCACGCCUAAAAGGGUGUGAUACAGAAAGUCUACCUUAAUACAAGUAUUAAUGGAUGUUUUCACGGUUCAAUAAAAGGGUGUGAUAAAGAAAGCCUACCUUAAUACAAGUAUUAAUGGAUAUUUUCACGGUUCAAACUCGUGAUCUUUAGGUCACAUAUAUAACUUUAUCAUUACUCCAAGGCUUCUUUUCCUACUAAACAUAUACGGUCGAACCUUUCGAUAAUAAUUUUAUUUGUUUAUAUAUUUUUUUACUAUUAUAGUAAAAUGAUAUUAUAGAUAGACGUAUAUUAUAUUAUAACAUAAAACUCGAUUCCGAGUAAAACUCUGACUUUGAUCUGAUUUACUUAAUUCUACAAUACAUGUAGGUAACUAUGAUCUUGCACUACGAGGUUGCUUGACUGAUAUAAGGACGAGGGCCAAGAUUUGAUGCCAUGAGAUGACUUGAUAUUGCGCUUAAGCAAUAAGGGGCCCCUCCUCGAGUCUGCACACCCCCAGUGAGUGCGGUUACCCAUCGUGAUGUGAGAUAUGGAUGGAGGGGCUUAUGUCGUACUAUAUGAUAGCUUGAAGGGCUGGUAUUAUUCUAUGUGAUAGCCCGAGGGUUGGUACCAUUCUAUACGAUUUCUCGAAGGGCUAGUAUUGUUCUGAGAUAUUGCCCAAGGGGCGGAGUUGUUGACAUUAUGCUCGAGGGGCGAACCUUUAUGUAUUUAUAUUUUAUAUUUACAUGUCAUUUUACUUGUUAAACUAUGGUAUUUGUGCCCGAGGGGCAGAUUUAUGUACUUCUCUACACUAACUAUUUUGCAUUCAUUGGCGUAACUGUGGAAAAGGUCAUUUUUCAAAGAAGUUUAAACCGAGCUAAGAUAAUUUAAAGAGAUUUCACAGCUUCAUUGCUUUCUUAAAUUAUUUUAUACUGCUUCUAUACAACAUGUUGAUAUGCUUUACGUGAAUUCUUACUGAUCAAUUGUUAUUUACCUUUAGUACUCACUAAGUUGGAGUACUCACUUUACUCCCUACAUCUUGUGUGCAGGUUCAGGUAUUUCUGAACACGGUAGCGGGUAUUGCUUGAUUAGAGGUAGAGCCAUCGGAUUUUAUUAAGGUAGCUGCUGGCGUCCACAACACUGCUUUUCUCGAGUGAAGGAAAUUUUUUGACAAAGUUUAUAUUAUGCUUUGUAGGUGUGUGAGAAUCAGGGGAUGUCUUAAGUUGUUGUUGGUAAACAAUACUCGAUAAAUAGAGUAGGAAGUUUCUUGGUUGUAUUAGGAUGAGGUUACAUUCUGCGGUGUAGGAGUGCCAAUGAGGCAUGGGUGGUUCUGUUCGUUUGAUUAGGUUAAUUGCAAUUUAAAGAAGACUGAAUGACUCUCAAGAAUCAUUCUAUUCUAAAUGAAAUAAUUGGGUAAUUUAACAUUAUAUAUGUGGUUAGAAACUGAGUUUUCAUUAGAAGAUGUCAAGACUCGUGGAGAAUUCUAUGUUAAUUAUGGGGUUCUAUGUAUCAGUAUCAGGAAGGUAAAGGCAACAGAUUUAGACCUGCAGGAAAUCUCUUAAGAGUAAUGCAUUUUUGAGCUUGGUGCUCCUAGGAAUAUCUGAAAAAGUAUUCAGUGACUUAUGAGCCUUAGACGGUGCAGUUUUAUUUUUGGUCUCGUGUGGUAAGCCAGGGUUGAGGAAUUAUGGUGCUAGAGCUAGAGAGAAUAUCAAGUUGAAGAUGAAUCAACAGGAAAUUUCGAUAGAUGGGGUAGCUUGGUAGUUGACCGGAUCAAUAUGGAAAGGAUAUGAUUAGCUCUUUGGAUGCUUACGGGGUAAUGAGUCUCUGCAGGUAUCUUGUGGCAGUGCUCUUAGGUUUGAUGGCUUGCUUAACUUGGUCGAGUUAGAAGGAUUCAAUCGUGGCUGGUCUAAUUUGUGAAAAAUUAGGUUUGAUGACUUGCUUAACUUGGUCGAGUUAGAAGGAUUCAAUCCUGGCAGGUCCGAUUUGUGCAAAGGGAUCUCGGAGAGUCCUUGAUGGGUUUUCCUCAGAUUGGGGGAUCCAUAUCUUCUAGAUUGAACCAAUGGAAGUUUCUAGUCUAGUUGAGUAUGUAGAUGUUUGUAUCACGGAAGGGAUGUAAAGUCCUCGCGGUUAUCCUAGAGUCGUACAGUUUAUGCGGCAUGUUGUGUAGGAUCGAGAUUGGCAUAUGUAAUGUAACAUUUCAGAUUAUAAGGGAAGGUCUUGAAUUCUUAGGCAGCAAGGACAACUUUAGAUAAUUAGAGAAACGAGCUUCAGAUGAUUUGAUAAAUGAUCUUCAGAUGAUUAAAGAAAUGGUAAUAAUAAUUGAGGUGAUUGACGAGGGUAUAUGUUUCAGAAAGAGGCAGUGUGAUUAAGUUGAUGGUACCUCGGUAGUAUUGCAGCACUUCUUGUCAGAUCGACUGCUGAUAUUCGAGAUUGCUUGAUGGCACAAGGGAAUUUUAGAAUAUCUUGAGUGGAAUGAUUGGGUAUUUUAGGUGUGAUAUGCAUUCGAGCAGCGGAAUUAGGAUUAGGUAUGGUAAUUUUAUGUGCUACAUGGAGUUGGAGACUGGGAGUUCUUAUAUUCAGGCUAUAUUGUGGUUGUGGGUCGCGUUUAUCGGCACUGUUUAGUGACUAUCGGGGUUUGGAGACUCAAGCAGAUCUUUUGUGCUUGGUAUGUUAUAUUUUGGAUGUGAUUUUGGGUUUAGACUGCUUGUCUCCAUGUGUUGUCAUUCUAGACUAUUGCGCUAAAGCAUUGCUGUUGGCUAUGCCGGGAAUGCCAUGGAUUGAGUGGCAUGGUUCGACGAAUUAUGUUCUAGUAUAGUGGUUAUAUGUUCAAAGACGGUUGGGAAGGAUUGUCUUAUUUAUUUGGGUUCUCGUGAUGGAUGACAGUGUUGAGGCUCCUUAUAUUGAUUCAAUUCCAGUGGUGAGGAACUUUUCGGAUGUGUUUCUAAUUGUCAGCAUGUCACCAGUCAAGGUUGUUAAUUUCGAUAUCGAUUUGAUACCGGGCACCGUAUCGUAUGGCGCCGACAGAGUUAAAGGAGCAUCUUCAGCUUUCCUUGAUAAGGAGUUUGUUGGCUGGCCAAUGUGGAUGCAUGUUUUAACUUGAGUCGGUUUGGUUGGCUCCGAAUUGCAUUGUUGAGGGAUGUGUUGAUUCGAUCUUUGUUGAGCUUAUUAGAGAUAUGGGGAGAUCUAUGAGUUACCUUUUAGUGUUGGGAGGUGAUAUAAUUUUUUGGUUAGGGGCACAUACAGUGCGUUCAUUUGGGGUCUCAUAUGGAAGUCGAGCGGGAAGAGUAAUUGGGUGUUUCUCGGUGAAAUGCGUAUCGGUUAUGUCCUAUCGGGAUGCGUGGUAUAUGUUAUUUAUUUUAUCGUGGGUGUAAUGAUUGUCUUUGAUUCCAGACAUUAAAUUGUGUGUGGCUGUCGAUUUUGAGCAUACUGACUUGAGGUGUUUCAUGUGAAGCAGUGCUUGGAUAGGAUCGCGCAUUGCGGUGAAGCUAUAUGGAGAUAUGAACUUUCGAGUUAGAUUCAUGUGUUCUAUCUCUAUGAUGAGAGAUGGGUUCUCAGCCUUGUGUUGUGAUAGUAUUGGUGAGCUCGAGGUACAACUCUUUCAUUUGAGUCAUUUUUAUGAUUUGAGUAUGUUCGGACCAUUGCUUAUUGGUGCGUGUAUUAUCCAAGUUGUGGCUUAGACCUAUAUUGAUGUGUCACUUCACCAGAGUAGUGUGUUCGAUUAUAUGAAAUCGUUAGGAUCAUUAAUGAAUACGAACAUAUUCGAUUUCAGCAUGUUGGAAAGAUAAUAUCGAGGUUCGGCUCGAAAAUUUGCUAUGGUAAUUGCCAAGAAGAAGAAGCUUCAUGAAUGGUUGAUCUGAGAAAUGGUUAUGGCUUACUACUUGUUUUAGUUAUCAUUGGCAGUAUAUAUAAAAGUGUUGGGAUUAAACUUUGGUUGAUAAGGAGGUUUCUACCGGUAUUCGGGUGUUGUAUGCAGAGGUUGUGAAUGAAAGUUAUCGCUGCAUGUGUUUGAGUUAUGUGGUAUAUCGUAUAAUUGCACCUGAGGUUGCAUGCAUGGGUUAUUACAGCUGGUUCGAGCCCAUUCAAAGUAUAGGUGUGAGAUUUUGAUCGUAUUGAUGGUUUCAGAAGUGAAAAUGUAGUUCUAUGGUAUAUGGCCUAGAUUGGAUUGUGUAUCAGGAGGUGUAGUUCAUCUAAACAUUCAUCUAUAACAAGAACAGUAGAUGCAGACAUUCUGGAAUCAGAAACUGGAAAAAAACCAAGUCUCUUGUUUCCAGUUUUUUUUCUUAAUCAACCAUAGGUGAUGACAGUUCUGGCAAAUUUCAAGGAAGCAUGGCUCGCUUGUUAGGCUUUAUGUAUUUUCUUUUCUAUGACCCACAUAGGCACGGUGACCCUACCCUAUAAAGUGAAACAACGCUUUAUGUAUUUUAUUUUCUAUGACCCACAUAGGCACGGUGACCCUACCCUAUUUAAGUGAAACAACAGAAAAGCAGUAAUUAGACUCUUCGCCUAGUUUUAUGCUCAUUAAAAUAAACAUCAAAGGAGAAUUCUUUUUAUUGGCCAUUGUUUGGUUUCUUAAUGGUCAAUUUCAGCCUUCUAAAUUGAGUAUAGGUGUGAGGUUUUGAUCGUAUUGAUGGUUUCAGAAGUGAAAAUGUAGUUCUAUGGUUUAUGGGCUAGAUUGGAUUGUGUAAUUUCAAUUACAAUGUGUUAUCAUACCUAUAUCUUAUAAGGUGAUGUGGGAUCAACCCCGGGUAUAUGCAUGGUAAGGUUAUUCAGCGAUUGGUUGGGUUUUGUAACUACUCCGGGGACGUUUGAGGAUGAACAUUUGUUUAAGUUGAGAAAGAUGUGACGACCCAGCCAGUCGUCUCAUGGGUUACCACUUUGUUUCCCCCCAUUUUGUGCUUCUUUGUGCUUCAUUAUCCAUGUUUUAUGUGAUCGAGUUGAUUAGUUGGUGUUCAAAGAGGAUUUUCUAAGACAUGAGACACUUAGUCUCUUUUAAGAAGGCUUAAGUUGGAAAAGUCAACUGAAUGUUGACUUAUGUGAAAGGGAUCAGAUGUGAGUUCCGGUGGUUGGGUUAGCUUUGGGAGGUGAUUUAUGACUUGGGAGUGUGAUCGGAAUGGGUUUUGGAGGUCCGGAAUAGAAUUAGUCUUGAAUUGGUGAAAGUUGAUAUUUUGGUGAUUUCCAGUUGAUAGGUGAGAUUUUGAUCCGAGAGUCAUAAUGGAAUAUUAAGAGCUGUUGUAGCUUCGUUGUGCCAUUUGGGAUGUGCGUGCAAAAUUUCAGGUUAUUCAGCGUGUUUUGAUUGGUUUUUGAUCUAAAGCGUAUUGCUGAAGAUUUUAGAAAAACUUAGGCUUGAAUCUGAUGUGUUUUAAGUAGUUUGAUGUUGUUUGAGGUAUUUUGAUGACUCAAACAAGUUUGAAUAAGGUUUAGGAUGUGUUUUUGCUUUUGGUUGAGGUCUCGGGGGCCUCGGGUGAGUUUCAUGUUGUUAAUCGGACAAUUUUUGAGUUUGAGAAAUUGCAGAAAAUCAACCUAGCAGUUAUAGGUAGUUUGGCCUUCGCGUUCGCAAAGGGUUGAGUUCUGUGAUCUAUGCAUUCGCAAAGGACAAGGCCGCAUUUGUGAGGUACUAGGACUCGUUCGUGAAGGCUAUAGAAAGGAUCUCAUCGCACGCGAGUGGGUUUUCGCGAUCGGGGAGAAGGGUUGGAAGCAUAUUGGUCCAAGGCGAUUUAUUCAAGCCUUCGCGUGAGGGCUUCUGCAUUCAUGUAAGUUUAAGUGGAAUAGGCAUCGGGUUCAUAUCUGGAACGUCGCAUACGGGAAAGUCAAUUUUUUGGUCAAAGCGAGUUUGUGCAGCGCGAUUGCCAGGUGAUGACUGCGAUCACGAAGUAGGAAGGGUCACACCUGGACAAAAUGUUUUAAGUCAUUUCAUCCGCGAUUUUGGGUCUAUUUUCCUCCAUAGUUAAUCAUUUUGAUAGCUUCUUGAAGGAGAUUAUCGAGGGAUUCAAGAGGAAACGACUUGAGGUAAGUUUCUUGGACUUAAAACUCGAUUCAAUUAUGAAAUCCACCCAGAAAUUCAUGAAGACCUGAACAAAAAUGGAAGAACUGGGGCUUGAAAUUUUAGAUUUUGAUUAGGGAAUUUGGAGGACCAAUUGGGGUCGGAUAUGAGAACUUUUGGUACGUACUAACUCGUGGGGAGAUAAGGAACUCGGUGAUGUAAAAAAUUCUAAGUUUCGAGAAGUGGGCCCGACGCUCGAGUUUUGCUAAUUUUUGAAUUUUUGGUAUUUUUCGAUUGUUUUCGCUUGGGCUUUGUUGCCUUAGCAUAUUGUGAUGUAAUUGUUCUUAUUUUAAAUAGAUUCGACAUGCGUGGAGGCCGAUUCAAGGGUCAAAGGCAUCGCCAGCUAGAUAUUUAGCUGGUUCGAGGUGAGUAAUACUUGUAAAUGAUGUUUUGAGGGUUUGAAACCCCGGAUUGCACAUCGUAGUGCUAUGUUGAGGUGACUCACACGCUAGAUAGCGAGUGUGAGGUAGAACACCAUUGUGGAUUGUGACUUAGUCCAUCCCGAUUGAUGAUUUUACCAUGUGCUUGAUUGAAAACUAUUUGCUAUCAUCAUAAUGCCAUAUUUGGGCCUAGUGCCAACUAUGUGAACCCUUCGGGGCUUGUUAUUGAUAUUCCCUCACUGUUCUGACUUUAUAUUGGAACUCAGUCAUGUUAUUUUACACUGUUUUCAAAACUCAGCCAAGUUUACUUCUUUAGCACUUGAAAUGAUAUUUCAAAUAAUAUUUUGGGUUGAGCAUCAUGUUUUAUUGUUGCCCAAGUGACUUAUGUGAUUUUUGACUGAGUAAGGCCGAUGGCCUAGUUGUAAGAAAACACUAAUACUAAUUUUAGGCGGAGGGCCUCAAAUAUAUACGCCACGACGUGGAUUGUUGAUAUUGUUUAUGAGGCCGAGGUCCUGAGAUAUAUAUGCCACGAGGUGGCUUGAUUGAUAUGAGGCCGAGGGCCUAGAUGUGAUGCCACGUGGUGGCUUGAUUGAUAUGAGUCCGAGGGCCUAGAUGUGAUGCCACAAGAUGGCUUGAUAUUGCUCUUAGGCCGUACGGGGCCCCUCCGCUUUAUUGAUAUGAGGCCGAGGGCGUAGAUGUGAUGCCACGAGAUGGCUUGAUAUUACUCUUAGGUCGUACGGGGCCCCUCCCGGAUUCAUACCCACAGUGAGCGCGAGUACCCAUUUUGAUGUGAGAUAUAGCCCGAGGGGCUAAUAUUAUUCUAAGUGAUAGUCCGAGGAGCUGGUAUUGUUCUAUGUGAUAGCCCGAGGGGCUGGUACCAUUCUAUGUGAUUGCCCGAUGGGCUGGUAUUGUUCUGAGAUAUUGCCUAAGGGGCGAAGUUGUUGACAUUAUCUUUCAUAUUUAUUUGUCAUUUUACCUGUUAAACUAUGGUAUUUGUGCCCGAGUUCGGAUUUAUGUUCUUCUAUGCCCUAACUAUUUUGCAUUCAUUUGCGUAACUGUUGAAAAAGUCAUUUUCAAAGAAGUUUAAAUUGAGUAAAGAUAUUUUUAUGAGAUUUCAUAGCUUCAUUGCUUUCUUAAAUGGUUUUAUAUUGCUUUUAGAUUAAAUUGAGCAAAGAUAUUUUUAAGAGAUUUCACAGUUUCAUUGCUUUCUUAAAUGGUUUUAUAUUGCUUGUAGACAACAUGUUGAUAUUCUUUACGUGAUUUCUUACUGCUCAGUUGUUAUUUACCUUUAUUACUUACUGAUUUGGAGUACUCACUUUACUCUCUGCACCUUGUGUGCAGGUUCAAGUAUUUCUGAAUCCAGUAGUGGGUAUUGGUUGAUUAGAGGCAGAGUCAUCGGAGUAUAGCAAGGUAGCUGUCACCGUCUGCAGCACUGCUUUUCUCCCUUUUUAUUCUACUAGUCGGUACAUAGUACAUUCCAGUUUUCAUCAGAUGUAGCUAGACCUUAGUAGAUGCUCAUGACUAGUGUCCAGCGUCUGCAACACUGAUUUUCUCCCUUUUUAUUCUAUUAGUCGGUACAUAGUACAUUCCAGUUUCAUCAGAUGUAGCUAGACCUUAGUAGAUGCUCAUGACUAGUGACACCCCAGUUUGGGCUGUGUUUGGGUUGUACUUCCGCAUUGUUAUGAUAUUAAGAAGUAGAUGCUCAUGACUAGUGACACCCCAGUUUUGGCGGUGUUUGGGUUGUACAUCCGCAUUGUUAUGAUAUUAUCUGCUUUUUAAAAUUAUUAAAUCAUCUUUUAGCCUGUUUAAUUAUUGUUUAGCUGUAUGAUUUCGAAUUGGAGAUGUGUCGACUGGCCUUGUAUUCAUGAUAGGCACCAUCACGAUCGUGUGUGGGUUUAGGGUCAUGACAGUGGCGUAUAGGUGAGCUAACAAGGUCCUAUGCGUCGCCAAAUUAUCUAUUUAUCAUGCUCAAUUCCCCGUUCUUAAUAUAUUGUUUUCAUGUCGUUACUGCUACAUGCCUAUUUGUGCCUCCAUGUUAAAUUACUUCUUGUUAGAUGGUGAUUUCUUUAUUGAAGAUAUUAAUUAUUCUGUAGUUCAUUGUAUCACAAUAUUAGAUUAAGUUGGUUUAUCGGUACUUCGUGGUACAUUUUGGUUGGUCUUGUUAGAAUACGUGCUUAACGCUAGAGGGGGGGUGAAUAGCGUAUUAUCAAAAAUCACAGGAAUUUAAAACAAUAAUGCGGAAAUUAAAGAGUAAGGAGAGUGUGCACCAAAACGUAUACUGGUUCACCACAACCUGUGGCUAAGUCCAGUCUCUUGAGCAACAGCUUAAGGUUCUACUAUCUCCGUUAAACUUGCGGGUGCUUAACAAACCGUUACACUGCUCAAGGAUACCGCACCUCAAGACUUCUGUUAAGUUUCCGGGUACCUAACAAACCUUUACACUUGANNNNNNNNNNNNNNNNNNNNNNNNNNNNNNNNNNNNNNNNNNNNNNNNNNNNNNNNNNNNNNNNNNNNNNNNNNNNNNNNNNNNNNNNNNNNNNNNNNNNNNNNNNNNNNNNNNNNNNNNNNNNNNNNNNNNNNNNNNNNNNNNNNNNNNNNNNNNNNNNNNNNNNNNNNNNNNNNNNNNNNNNNNNNNNNNNNNNNNNNNNNNNNNNNNNNNNNNNNNNNNNNNNNNNNNNNNNNNNNNNNNNNNNNNNNNNNNNNNNNNNNNNNNNNNNNNNNNNNNNNNNNNNNNNNNNNNNNNNNNNNNNNNNNNNNNNNNNNNNNNNNNNNNNNNNNNNNNNNNNNNNNNNNNNNNNNNNNNNNNNNNNNNNNNNNNNNNNNNNNNNNNNNNNNNNNNNNNNNNNNNNNNNNNNNNNNNNNNNNNNNNNNNNNNNNNNNNNNNNNNNNNNNNNNNNNNNNNNNNNNNNNNNNNNNNNNNNNNNNNNNNNNNNNNNNNNNNNNNNNNNNNNNNNNNNNNNNNNNNNNNNNNNNNNNNNNNNNNNNNNNNNNNNNNNNNNNNNNNNNNNNNNNNNNNNNNNNNNNNNNNNNNNNNNNNNNNNNNNNNNNNNNNNNNNNNNNNNNNNNNNNNNNNNNNNNNNNNNNNNNNNNNNNNNNNNNNNNNNNNNNNNNNNNNNNNNNNNNNNNNNNNNNNNNNNNNNNNNNNNNNNNNNNNNNNNNNNNNNNNNNNNNNNNNNNNNNNNNNNNNNNNNNNNNNNNNNNNNNNNNNNNNNNNNNNNNNNNNNNNNNNNNNNNNNNNNNNNNNNNNNNNNNNNNNNNNNNNNNNNNNNNNNNNNNNNNNNNNNNNNNNNNNNNNNNNNNNNNNNNNNNNNNNNNNNNNNNNNNNNNNNNNNNNNNNNNNNNNNNNNNNNNNNNNNNNNNNNNNNNNNNNNNNNNNNNNNNNNNNNNNNNNNNNNNNNNNNNNNNNNNNNNNNNNNNNNNNNNNNNNNNNNNNNNNNNNNNNNNNNNNNNNNNNNNNNNNNNNNNNNNNNNNNNNNNNNNNNNNNNNNNNNNNNNNNNNNNNNNNNNNNNNNAAAUAUAAAUUAAAAGUGUAUUCAAUAAUAACUCACAUAUAUUUGGCAUAUAUUAUUUUCCAUCUAAAUCGGUUUGUCAAUUAUCAAAACAUAUAAAUAUUAACAUGCAUAUAUGUUCCAACAGGUCUCACCAUGUAGCAUUAAUUGAUGCAGUUUCAUAAUUGUGUAGAUUUCUAUUUGCUUUUAUUUGAGACACAAAUAUUAUGGAGGGUACUGAGCUAAAUUAUAAAAUACUUGUUCUUAUUGUGUCAUUGGUACUGAUAUGGUGGAAUCGGGUUGCACGCGCAAUAGGAUGAGUAAAGGUGAAAUGUGAUUGUCUGUUGGGGUCGGGUUGCGCAUUGUGAAAAGGAGUAUUAAGGGUGGACAUGUCGGAUCGGGUUGCACGCUGCAACAGAAGGAAUAAGGGUAAUAUAUUGAGGAGUAAUAAGGAUGGACUGGUAGGAUCGCAAUAGGAUGAGUAAGGGUGAAAUGUGAUUGUCUGUUGGGGUCGGGUUGCGCAUUCUGAUAAGGAGUAAUAAGGGUGGACAUGUCGGAUCGGGUUGCACGCCGCAACAGAAGGAAUAAGGGUAAUAUGUAGGAUCGGGUUUCACGCUGCAACAAGGAGUAAGAAGGGUGAAUGUUCAUAUUAGUACUAAUUAUAUGGUAGGAUUGAGAUGCGCGUCGCAUCAUUUUGUUGCUUAUGUAUUUUUCUCUGCUGUCCCGUAUUUACUUACUGCAAGUUACUAUUCCAUUUCGUUCCGUAAUUCCUUGUUGCUUUAUUAUAAACUGUAUGCAUAUUAUAUUAUGAAUUCCCCGCCUUAGCCUAGUCACUAUCUCGUCAAGGUUAGGCUCGGCAAUUACCAGAACAUAGGGUUGGUUGUGUUGAUACUGUACUCUGCACUUUCUGAGCAGAUUUUGGAGCUGGUUGUGGUUGAUCGAGAGGUCGGUUGCAGGCAUUCAUCUAGGAGACCCAAGGUAGUUCUGCAUGCGUUCGCAGGCACUGGCGUCCCUUCUUAUGUUUCCACAUUUCUAUUUUAUUUUCUUCAGAGAUAGAUGUAUUUUCUUUCAGACGCACCCUGCAUGCGUUCGCAGGCACUAACGUCCCUUCUUAUGUUUCCACAUUUCUAUUUUAUUUUCUUCAGAUAUAGAUGUAUUUUCUUUCAGACGCAUACUUGUAGUUAUUCAUAGAAUACUCGUAGGUUGUGACACUAACUUCUAGGUAGUAACAGGUUUUGGUAUUUGUUAAUAGUAUAUAGAUUGCCAUUUUAUUAUGUACUUUCGCUUUUAUUUCUGUUGAUUUAGUUUUGUUAUAUUUUAACUUAUAAAAUAUAAAGGAAGAAGGUGAAUAUAACUAUAAUGUUGGAUUGCCUAGCGAGUACGAUGGUAGGCGCCAUUACGAUCCCAACGGUGGGAAAUUUGGGUUCGUGACAUAUUCAUUGUCUUUUUUUUAAUGUAUUUAAAUUUAUCUCGUUGUAUUCCACGUAUUAUAUUGUAUUCAUUGUCACGUUUUAUUCCAGGAGUGUAUUCAUAUAUUUUAUUAAUCAAUAUAGUUUAAUAUUUAGAUGUACAUAAUUUUAUUCCAGGAAUGUAUUCAUAUAUUUUAUUAAUCUAUAUAGUUUAAUAUUUAGAUGUACAUAUGUAUUCAAAUGUAUAUGCAGUAUGCAUUCAUAUAUUUUUUUCUAUACAUGAAUCUCAAAUUUUAUUGGUUGAAAUUAAACAGAAACACGCAUGAAUGAUAUCAACAGAAAAGGGAAGGAUUAGAAACAUGACAAUUACUCUGUUUCAUCAUAUUUCGCAUCAAAUACAUAUUAUGGGUGAUGUAAUUUAGUUAGUAGUUAUUUUAGGAAUCUAUUGUGCUAAUUAAUUCACUUUACAUUUUAAAAACAGCUGAAUAGACCACGAUUUGUGCUAUUUACGUUAUUGUAUUCACAAAUACAUAUCGUGAAUACAGUCGAAUACAAUAAUUGUCUAGCUAGAAUUCCCUGAUUCAUGCCGAGUUUUGCUACUAUAUUCAUGAAUAUAGUAUAUAUCGUGAAUACAGCCGAAUACAAUAAUUGUUUAGCUAGAAUUCCCUGAUUCAUGCCGAGUUUUGCUACUAUAUUAAUGAAUAUAGUAGCUUAAAUACAUCAAAUACACUCUAAAAAAACUAAAAAUAUAGCUAUAGAAAGUAAUACAUUAAAUGGUAGCUAUAAGUAGCUAAUAACCACUAAACAAUAGUGGUUUAUGAAAAUUUCUCUUCUUUUUUUAUGUUAUUAAGAUAAAAUUUCAAAUCUGAAAAAAAUAAUAACAAACUGGACAAACUUAUAGAGGUUUGGUCAAGCUUUUCCAAAGUCAUAAGCACUUUUUUUCCUACAAAAUUACUUCUUUUUUUAAAGUUGAAAGGUUUGGUCAAGCUUUUCCAAAGUCAAAAGCACUUUUUCCCACAAAAUUACUUCUUGUUUUAAAGUUGAAGUGUUUGGCCAACCUUUUAGAAGAAAAAAAAUAUUUUUGAGUAUAAACAGAAAUAAUUUUAGAAAAGUAGAAAAAAGUAAGUUUUCUUCAAAAACACUCUUUUUGAAAAGCAAUUUUGAGAUAAAUUCACGUAACAGUACUUUUUAUAGGCUUGGCUAAUAUUAAUUGUUGCUCAAAACUGCUUUUAGUAUUAAUUAGCCAAGCACAGAGUAAUUAUUACAAAAAAAAUAUUUUCUAAAAAAAUACUUCUUAAGAUAAGCUAAUUUUUAAAAAUUAGCAAAAUAAGCUAUAAUCCAAACACCUUCUACCUCCCGCCCUUACGUACACUCGUAGAGUCAGCAAGAAAAAAAAGGAUGUUAAAAAUAUUUCAAAAAUUGAUGUGCAUAUUUUUCAAACGAAAAAGGAUUAAUAAAGUUCCUAAAUUAUUGAAAAAGUUUUUAAAAUGCUUAUCAUUCAUUUAUUGAGCUUAAAAUAUCCCUACAUUCACCUUUUUGGUUUACUUAUUCCCUUUUACCAUUAGGUCAAUAUUGAAUUAAAAAUAAUAACUAUUUAAAUUUCACGUGGCAAUUUCUUAUUGGCCAAAACUAAUACAUCUAACCCAUUAGAAAGAUCUACCCAUAUCUAUCAAUUCUUUGUACUAACCCGCUUCAAAUAUUAAUUCGACCCGAACAAAAAGUUCAACCAAAAAAAGAGACCUCACUUCUAUCAAACUCUAUGAAACAAAAGUUUCAUGGAAAUUGCAGCGAAUAUAUAGACCAAAUUUAUUACAUGUUAUUAUUUUUCUUGUUACGACAUCUAAUUCAAUUUAUAUAAUAGAUAUAAAUUGCAUUAUAUUCAAUUUUUUUUUGUCAGAAAGAUAAACUAUAUUAUAAACGGUUAAACAAGUACAACAUAAUUGUUAAGUAGAUGCCUACAAUGCAUCAUUCGUACAAAACUAGAGUUUGUUUAACUAUACAUGAGAUUAAUCAAGAAAAUGAGCACAUGUAAAUUCAUGAAUUAAAUGAAACCGAGGCAUCCUUUUUAGGGGCAGAUUCAUGUAUAGUGAAGCGAUGUCAUGUCACGUGACACCACUUUGUUAAAAUAUUUUACCAAAUGUCAUACAAAUAAUACGAAAAUUUAAUCAAACAUGUAUAUAUAGACAGGAGUGACACCACUUAACACCACACUGUUAUUGAUCCAGUGGUUUAGCUCCUGCCUUAUUUCUUCCAAGUCUAGGGAUUGAUUCUCCUCAUUAACUCUUUUUUUUUUCGCUAUUUUUGAAGCUUAUUUUCUUUGGGAAAAAAAAGUAGGUUGAGCAGUAUUUGAACUCACCUCCUUUAAACAAAAAUUUCUUAUAAUCAGUGGAAUAACGCCCAAUCUAUCUUUUACUGUAGAGAAAAUAAAUAAUAAGUAAUUAGACUAUUUGUCCCUUUAUUAAAAGUGACAUUACUUGUAAAAAAAUUUACAUAUGCUCCUGAUCUUUUUUUAUUUGAACUUUUUAUUCGAAUCAGGGGUUAUAAAUAAUUUUUGCUGAGCAGUCGUUAAAAGUCCAAAGGGAAAUACCUGUCAUGUUUAUUUAUAAAUAGCUUAUUAUAAAAAUUGACCAAUUCAUAAAAUAUUACUAAUAUUAGCUAAUUAGCAAUUUGUAAGGAAAACAAAGUCAAUUUUUCUUUCUCUUUUGAGUUAGUGUUAUUAGAAUAGAUUGAGUACAUAUCCUAAGGAGAUUGAAUCUUAGUUUUGGAAUGAUUUACUAGAGUUUUGAGGUGGUUUGAAUUAAAAAUUCGAAGUAGAAGAUGAGCAUAAAAACAUGAUAUGUACAUCAUUUGUGUAUUAUAUAUGUAUCAUAUUUUUUUCGAAUGUGUAUUACAUGUAUAUCUGUAUAUACCAAUGUGUGAGAUACAUAUUUGAUAUAUAUGUAACACAAGAAUUUUAUAAACUCGAUUUUAACUAUGAACUAGUAUAUGUACUCGAGGUCUCAGAGCAAUGUGUGGACAAUUGACAUAUAUAAUCAUGGAUACACAGGUUUAUAAAAUAAUUUUAAUAUUUAACAUAUUAUAAAAUAAUAUUGUAAAGCUUACAUGAAAGAAUGCUAACAUGUUUGACACCUCCAAUGGUUAUAUUAGUUAACACUAAUAAAAGCAAUCAAUAUAUCAGCUUUAUUCAUUGUUUUAAUUAGCUAACCAUAACUUUUAACAUUAUAUAAUUAUUUACUUAAUUUGUUUUACAAAUUAUUCAUAAUCAUAAAUUCCUCACAUAAUCCCUGUCAUCCUCUUAUAUGCAUUUUUUACUACAAUACUUUUAGUUGAUUUUUUAUUUAGCAUUUUACUUAUAAUAAAUAAUUAUUUGGAACUACUUUUAAUUUGUUUCCAAUAUGUUAUAUUUAGUUUUAGUUUUAGCUAUUGAUAUUAUCUAAACAUGAGUUUAAAUUAUAUUUGUUUUCAUUUAACAAUUAUUAAGAUUUCAAUUAGAUAACCUUAUCGGUAAAGUAUGUUUUGUUGAAUCAUUACUCAAAGAUUUUAGAAAUUUUUGAUCUUAAAUGCGAGAUCGUUGGCUAAAAACAUGUUUUUAAGGAUAAAAUAAAAUUAAGUAUUUUAAAAUAUAGAAGGUUAUAAUUCUUUUUGAAAACCAACUAAUAAGGAAAUAACACCAAAUAAAAUUAACGGAGGGACUAGAUUAUUCUAAUAUGCAACCUACAAUGCUAAUGCAAAUAUUACUCAAACAAUGUUGUAGGAGCUAGAGUAUUCAUCACUACAUACACCCUGCUCCUUUAUAUUGUAGACAAGAACCUAAAAAUAGUACACACUUAAACAUGGAUAUUGCAGUUUUAAUUGCUCUACCAAUAUGCCUUUCAUUCUCCAUUUGGUGCCUGAAAUUGCUGUAUUUGAUAUGGUGUCGCCCAAAACAGUGGAAAGAGAGCUGAGGAAACAAGGAGUAUAUGGCCGUCCAUAUACAUUUCUUUAUGGAAAUCUAAAGGAGAUGAUGGAAAUGAACAAAAUAGCCAAGUCUAAACCCAUGCCUUUGAAUCACGACUACACCCCUCGGCUAAAUCCUUUCUUCUAUGAGCUCGCCACCACUUACAGUAACUACUCUUGCUAGUAAUUUGCAUGAGUUUCUUUAGUAGCAUAAAAUAGAGGAAUUUCACUAAAAAUAUAGUUUAAGAUUGUUUACAAACUUUAAUUUGUAAAUAGUAAUAUUUUCUGUCCUUUGCAGAAAAACUUUUCGAUUGUUUUCAAACUUUGCAGAGAAACUUUUCUUGUUUUCGCUAGGACCGAUACCUCGAGUGACCAUAAUGGAUCCAAAGCUAAUACGGGAAGUACUAUCAAAUAAAUCGGGUGUGUUCAGAAAACCAAAAAUCAGUGCUUUCCUCAUGCUAUUUGUAAUAGGAUUAAGGACUUACGAUGGUGAAAAAUGGGCUAAACACAGAAAAAUUCUUAAUCGAGCUUUCUCCACUUGGAAAAAUUAAAGGUAUUUUUCAAUUAAGUAGUUACCUUACUUUUACGUCAUUUUUUCAUCAGAGGUUUAUUUUCAUUUUGGCCUUGCAAAUGCAUGCAACUUAUGUUGGGAGCAUUCACAGAGUGUACACAAAAAAUGAUAAUCAAAGUUAAUAUUUUCGCUUCUGAGGGAACAUUGCGAACUUGUUUUCACUGCAAAACUUGCUAUUAAUGUCUUCCCUUGGUUAAGGUACGUCGAAAUGAAAUCUAUAAUCUUGGAAAUAAGAUAUACUAACGGUGACCUGAUAUCUGUAUUGAGGUUCUUGUUUAUGUAAUAGGUUUGUGCCAACAAAAACUAAUAGAAGAAGAUUGUACAUCUAUAACACAGUACGUAGUUCGCUAAAAAGGAUAAUAGAGAAGCGAGAGAAAGAGGUACAAUCAGGAAAAUCAGACAAUGAAGAUCUUAUGGGUUUGUUAAUGAAAUCUUAUCAAGAAGAACAACAAGGUAAUAAGAACUCAAACAAGGGAAUGAGUACAGAAGAUGUAAUAGAAGAGUGCAACUCUUUCUAUUUUGCGGGUCAAGAGACUACUGCAACUUUAUUAACAUGGACUGCAAUUGUUUUGAUUAUGCAUCCAGAUUGGCAACAAAAAGCUAGGAAUGAAGUUCUUCAAAUCAUUGGAAAAGAUGAACCUAAGUUUGAUCAACUGAACCAGCUAAAAAUUGUAAGAUUCUCUGUCGUUAUAUACUAUUUUAAUUUAAGUUAUACACACUAAAGAUAUAAAUUUAUUUUACAUUAUUAGUAUAGAUUAGAUAUGAUAGUAAGUUAGUUAUCGUUUCCAAUUAAGGCUUAUCUUGGAGAUAUGCUGACACUUAAAAGAUUUUUUCAUAUUAUAAGUAAAUUUUAACAUGUAAUAGCAGAUAAGUUACAAAUUUCAAGAAAUUUACAUGGACUUGCUUAAACUACCUAAUUAUAUAAAUAUUACAAUCGAUUGAUAUAUAGAACUUAAACUUUUUACUUUACAAGUUACUUGAUGCAAAAUAUUUUGUACGUUGUGAAUGCAUUGGAACUUCAACUCGAAAGAGACUUUUGAGUGUUAAAAAAAAGGGUAACUCAAUGCACGAGAUGCUUUGCGUUGACGCAUGAUUCGAAGAAGGGUCACAGCUAAAAGGGUGUGAUAAAGAAUGUCUACCUUAAUACAAGUAUUAAUGGAUGUUUUCACGGUUCAAACUCGUGAUCUUUAGGUCACACGCAAAUAACUUUAUUAUUACUCCAAGGCUUUUUUUCCUACUAAAACAUAUAUGGUCGAACCUUUCAAUAAUAAUUUUAUUUGUUUAUAUAUUUUUUUACUAUUAUAGUAAAAUAAUAUUAUAGAUGACAUAUAUUAUACCAUAACACAAAACUCGAUUCCGAGUAAAACUCUGACUUUGAUCCGAUUUACUUAAUUCUACAAUACAUGUAGGUGACUAUGAUCUUGCACGAGGUUCUGAGGUUAUAUCCAUCAGGUUCUUGUUAGAGAAACAAAUGAAGAGACAAAACUUGGUGACUACAUAAUUCCAUCAGGUGCACAGCUUUUGGUACCUCUGCAAUUAAUCCACCGCGACACAGACCAAUGGGGAGAAGAUUCUCUUAUUUUCAAUCCAGAAAGAUUCUUAGAAGGAGUGUCAAAAGCAGCCAAAGAUUUGAUGUAUUUUCCCUUUGGUUGGGGUUCUCGUCUUUGCCUGGG